AAAAUCCAUCUCCCAUUUACCUAUCGCUUUCUUAUUUUCUGAAUUUUUUCUCUCUCUAAAUUUUCUCUCUCUAGAAUUCUUUCAAAGAAUUUUCUUACGUAACCCCACAAGAAUUAGGUGCUUAGCUAAUUGUUGAGAAUUUUGGAAGUUUGGGAUGGCUGGAGUACCAUAGGAUGAUUGUUUUAGGUCUCCAGAUCCAUCGAUGGUGGGGAGGAAUCCAAAUACUCAAUCAUCAAUACACGAAGUGACGGAGGAAGAAUCGUCCACCUCUUCGAAGUUGAGGGAAGAGGCGAUCCAUACUGCUACAGUGGAGACGGACAUGGAUGAAGAUCGUCACAACUUUGACAGGGGGUAAAACAAUUAGUGGUAUGAAAAGUGAGAUUCUGCUAGGCGAUGAACAUGCGAGGUCUAAAUGCGCAAGUCACAAGGAAAGGAAACGGUGUAAUCGAUUCAAAGUCAAUCUCCAUCGCAAGAAAAGUAAUCAGCGCAAUUGACUCAAAGUCGAGUACAAUCGAAAGACAAUCUAAAAGAUUCUGGUAUUGGAGAUCCUUCUCCAGUAAUCGAUGAGCAUAAUCAACAAGCUUUGGAGGCUGUGGGAGUUCAAAAUAUCGACUCGCGAAAAGAAGGAGAAAUUGCUGCGAGGAUUAAAGAACAGGCAACUCGAUUCGAUCAACCACAACACGAAUUGCAGAGGAUUAAUCGAGAUAAUUGAUUUACCCAACAACAACAGCGUAUGCCCACUUCGAACAAGGAACACGAUCCAAAUCUUGAUUUUCAUCGACUUGCAAAUAUUAGAAAUAUAACAAUAAGAACUCAAGGAUCGAAGGAGGUAUUUCAACCGUCAAUGAGUAAGGUUGGUGAGUCUUCUAGAUCUGCUUUUCACAACAAUAGAUCAGAAAAUGCACCAGGUAACAUCACUGCUCGUCUUUACAAUAAUGAUAAUGAGUAUGAUAGACAGUAAGAUUUUGAGUAUCAAGCUAAUUUCCCAAAAAAUUCUAGAAAUUUUGAUCGACCUGUUCAUAAGAGUUCGAAUGAUAAAAUUGAUCAACCUUUAGGAAAUGUUAAUAAUUUUCCUAAGAAAGAUCAAGUUCCACAAUCGGCUCCUUACACUGUUAUUCAAACAUAUGCUGAUAUGUUAAGGUAUAAUCAAUCAAAGAGUGGAGUUAGAAUCAAAUUAACUGAUCCUGAAAUUACUACAAAACAGGGUCUGCUUGUUGUUCUGUAUGUGAAAGAUGAGGUUAUUAAGGAUUUAGCUUGUACUUGCAAAAUCACUCUCAUUGGUAAAUUUGUUUAUACCAUGCCUAGAGUAGAAUUGAUUAGGAAAAAUUUUAUACUUCAAACACAGUUAUCAAGGGGUGUUAAGAUUGCCCACUUUAAUUCUCGACAUGUUUAUAUUGACCUUGAUAAUGACCUAGAUUUUAACAUGGUUUGGACAAAACAAAGAAUGACCAUAGCAGGGCAGAUUAUAAGAAUUCAGGCUUGGACACCUACUUUUAAACCUGAUGAAGAGACUCUUUUAGUGCCUAUUUGGAUUUCUCUUCCUGAACUGCCUUGGCAUUGUUAUAAUAAGAAGUUCAUAACUAGUUUAUUAUCUCCUAUUGGUAGAAUUCUGUAUUUAGAUUCUUCUUCUAUAAAUAAAACUAGGGGAAGUCAGGCUCGUGUUAAGGUUCAAGUUGAUCUUACUAAGGAUAGACCUCCUCAUAUUUGGAUGGGUUACAUGGGGAAGGAUAUCACUGAUGGUAGAUAGCAGAAAAUUGACUAUGAUAACAUACCUGAUUAUUGCUUUUAUUGUAAACACCAAGGUCAUAAAGAGGCUGAUUGUAUCAUUAAGCAAAGAGAUGAAGAAAGUAAAAAAAGGAAAGAGUUGGAUAAAAAUAAGUCUAGGAAAGACAGUUUGCAGAAUUUUCAAAAAGAUUUGCAGGUUUCUAAGAACAUGGAAACAGGAAGAAGGGAGGCUGAUAUCAAUCCUCAAAGACAUCAAAAUCAAACAAACCAACAGCAGAUACAGUAGGAUGAAUGGCAAACUCAUAGGAGGAGGAAUCAACAAGUAAAAUUCAAUGUUGCGAGGGUAAAUCAGCAGCAACAGGAUUAAACAGGUAGCAAUGUUAAUAGGGAGCAAGUUAGUAGGCAACAAAUGAUGGAAAAAUAAGUUAGCAGGACAGAACAUGAUGGAGAUCAAAAAAUUAUUGUAAACAGACCAGCACACGUGUUUUUCCACUAGUUCCAACAAAUGAAGUUAGGUAAAAUUUGAUAAAUCAAUUUUUGUACCUCAUUCUGCACUGGCGGACUUCUCCGGUGCAGUAACAGACUUCUCAGACUUGGAUGUGCUCCAAAUCUUGCUGCAUGUAUUCUCCAAAUAUAUUUCGCAAAGGUUCCUGUAAAUAGAAUAUGGUUAAUGUCAUCUUUUCCUUUCCUGUAACAACAAUAAAGGAUAUUAGUCUUAGCAAAAUUUCCUGUAAUUAGAAUAUGGUUAAUGUCAUUU
Molecule: long non-coding RNA, 2482 nt
Organism: Solanum lycopersicum (tomato)
Lineage: Eukaryota; Viridiplantae; Streptophyta; Magnoliopsida; Solanales; Solanaceae
Source: RefSeq, a predicted model, not a curated record